GGGGCUGAUUUUGGAUUUGACGAAAUUUUCGAAAUCUGAAGUGCAUGUCGAGGUACGGUUGGCCUCGCAAAAAACCGUAAAAAAAUAGUAGCAAACGAUAAAAACUACGCUUUAGCAGCCUAAUAAUCUGUUCAAAGCCCUUUCUUUCUAGUUUUCUCUUGCAUUAGAUAAAUAAGAAAGGUCAAUCUUAAAGAGAUCGCACUAAUCAAGAACACCUAAAACUGAUAAGUGUUAAAAUUAAAAUUAGGUUAGUUUGAUAAAAUAGUGUCUAAUUCUAUUUGUCAAAUAAAUUAAAAAGAUAGACUAAGCAUGUAGUACUUAAGAUGUAGAAAUUUCGGACGCGGGUUCGAAUCCCGCCAGCUCCACCA
RNAcentral lists this transfer-messenger RNA (368 nucleotides) under Enterobacteriaceae (enterobacteria). Its description in RNAcentral is "SoEE sp002933345 Standard tmRNA". It matches the Rfam family "transfer-messenger RNA". From Rfam's summary of the family: Bacterial tmRNA, also known as 10Sa RNA or SsrA, is named for its dual tRNA and mRNA-like properties. Its role is to liberate the mRNA from a stalled ribosome. To accomplish this part of the tmRNA is used as a reading frame that ends in a translation stop signal. The record is from RNAcentral. Lineage: Bacteria; Pseudomonadati; Pseudomonadota; Gammaproteobacteria; Enterobacterales.